GCCGGUGUGGCUCAAUUGGUAGAGCAUCCGCCUUGUAAGCGGGGGGUUGCGGGUUCAAGUCCUGCCGCCGGCACCA
Molecule: transfer RNA, 76 nt
Filed under: Geminicoccaceae bacterium
Lineage: Bacteria; Pseudomonadati; Pseudomonadota; Alphaproteobacteria; Geminicoccales; Geminicoccaceae
Description: tRNA-Thr
Rfam family: tRNA
About the family: Transfer RNA (tRNA) molecules are approximately 80 nucleotides in length. Their secondary structure includes four short double-helical elements and three loops (D, anti-codon, and T loops). Further hydrogen bonds mediate the characteristic L-shaped molecular structure. tRNAs have two regions of fundamental functional importance: the anti-codon, which is responsible for specific mRNA codon recognition, and the 3' end, to which the tRNAs corresponding amino acid is attached (by aminoacyl-tRNA synthetases). tRNAs cope with the degeneracy of the genetic code in two manners: having more than one tRNA (with a specific anti-codon) for a particular amino acid; and 'wobble' base-pairing, i.e. permitting non-standard base-pairing at the 3rd anti-codon position.
Source: RNAcentral